CGAGAUUCCAGCGGACGGUAGGAAUUUCGAUACCGGAGUCUAGCCGGGUAUUACAUUCUCCCCCUCUUAAGAACAUUCGUCCCCGAAUGUUCCUCAACUAGCACAUAGCAUGGCAUACACAUGUCAUACAUACAAAGCACAUAAAACACAUAAGAGACUAACCUUAGAAAAGAUGAGGGUAUUGCUGGAGCAUGGACUCCCGUGUCUCCCAAGUGCAUUU
This 220-nucleotide long non-coding RNA is filed under the name Manihot esculenta (cassava). Its description in RNAcentral is "long non-coding RNA (MESC_LNC001642)". Lineage: Eukaryota; Viridiplantae; Streptophyta; Magnoliopsida; Malpighiales; Euphorbiaceae. The record is from RNAcentral.